CGCGAUGAAAUGUUCUCUGAGCUCAUGCAGUCAUCCGGCACUGACAGAGCUCAGCAGAAUGUGCGGAGGGACACAGGAGCACAGUACAGGAAAGCGGCCAGUGAAAGUGAGGACAGGAGGGAUAAUUGAGAUGAGAAGUGGUGGCAGGGGGAUCAGAGGAGGCAGGAUGCAAUGCUGAGGCUACUGCGGGAUUAAACGGACAUGCUUCGGCAUCUGGUGGAGGUUCAGAAAUGGCAGCAGGAUCACAGACUGCUGCUGCAGCUCCUGUUUAACCGACCUCCCUCCUCCCCAGACACCCAAGAAGGCCGGGGGGGGGGAGGCUCCGGGCACCCAAGCACUCCACCCCAUGGACAGUUGACAGCCCAAGCAACAGAAGACUGUCAUUAAAGAAGUUUUGAAGUGGCCUUUUCCUUCUCUCCUUCCCUCCUCCCACACCCCACCCGGGCUACCUUGUCCAGAAUUGGUGUUCCAUGGCUUGAGCCUGCCCCAUUGACAACAUGAUCUCCAAAUUGCCGGGGACCGCGGUUUUAGAAAAAUAUGUGGCCAUGUCCUCAUCAGUCUGGUCACCGUGCUGCUGUCGCCUGCUCGCCUGGCUUUUCAGGACCCUCGACCUAUACUGCCUGCGUUCUUCAGAAACUCCAUCCCUGGGCCAACACCCUCAUAGACCAUUCCAAAAGGACACGUUUCCAUGAAGAACUCAUGGUUGAUGUUCUUGUAAGGCAGACCAGCUAUUCAAGAACCAGAAGAAGAGGGAUGAAAGACUGGAAAAACAGAAUGGUCACAGGCAGGUAGAGAGGCUGAAGCCCAGUUGGAGGUGAGUGUUUCAGUGAGGGAGCUGGCACUUCCACAGUAGUAAGAUAAGGGAGGAAUAUAGACCCCAACAGAGAGAACUGUUCCAGCAACUCUUGUCUGUAAUGGCUGCAAGAGCACCGGCUGCUGUGGUCUCUCACCAUGGCAUAAUGCCCCAGCAACAUAUCCUUAGCCAAGCAGUAGUUUGCACAACUCCAUGCAGUGGUGCGGGAGCGGGAUGCAUUCAGGACUGGGUAAGGCAACUAACCCCUGUGCAGUUUUCUCUCUGGUGGAAAUCUCCCUCUCCCCCACCACAAAGUGAGGGCUAAAACUGUAAAGAAGGGAAAGGAGAACUUAGGGGCCAGGAGACAUGCAGUGAUAGGGGGAUUGUGUUGAGUAUUAACUAUUUCCUGCCCUUUUUAGGGGGCGUGGGGUGGGGUUGAUUUUGUAAUGGCAGUUGGCCUGCCCAAGACAGUGUGAGUGGUUUACUGUUUACAUAUCUGUUAACAAAUAAAGAAUAUGCUUUAUGUU
Molecule: long non-coding RNA, 1320 nt
Organism: Dermochelys coriacea (leatherback sea turtle)
Lineage: Eukaryota; Metazoa; Chordata; Testudines; Dermochelyidae
Exons: 3
Source: RefSeq, a predicted model, not a curated record